This 500-nucleotide ribosomal RNA is filed under the name uncultured bacterium. RNAcentral's name for it is "partial 16S ribosomal RNA". It matches the Rfam family "Bacterial small subunit ribosomal RNA", at positions 30 to 523 of the family's 1533-position model. The record is from RNAcentral.
AUUGAACGCUGGCGGCAUGCCUUACACAUGCAAGUCGAACGGCAGCACGGGAGCAAUCCUGGUGGCGAGUGGCGAACGGGUGAGUAAAGUAUCGGAACGUGCCCAGUCGUGGGGGAUAACGUAGCGAAAGUUACGCUAAUACCGCAUACGAUCUAUGGAUGAAAGCGGGGGAUCGCAAGACCUCGCGCGAUUGGAGCGGCCGAUAUCAGAUUAGGUAGUUGGUGGGGUAAAGGCUCACCAAGCCGACGAUCUGUAGCUGGUCUGAGAGGACGACCAGCCACACUGGGACUGAGACACGGCCCAGACUCCUACGGGAGGCAGCAGUGGGGAAUUUUGGACAAUGGGCGCAAGCCUGAUCCAGCCAUGCCGCAUGCAGGAUGAAGGCCUUCGGGUUGUAAACUGCUUUUGUACGGAACGAAAAGGUUUGACUUAAUACGUUGGACUCAUGACGGUACCGUAAGAAUAAGCACCGGCUAACUACGUGCCAGCAGCCGCCGUAA